RNAcentral lists this ribosomal RNA (481 nucleotides) under uncultured bacterium. RNAcentral describes it as "partial 16S ribosomal RNA". It matches the Rfam family "Bacterial small subunit ribosomal RNA", at positions 38 to 506 of the family's 1533-position model. The record is from RNAcentral.
AGGGAAGGAGGGAGGAAGGGAGUACACAUGUAAGUCGAACGGUAACGGGCCUUCGGGUGAAGAUGAGUGGAGAAAGGGUGAGUAAUAGAUAGGAACGUGAAAGAUAGUGGGGGAUAAGGAGGCGAAAGCUUUGCUAAUACCGCAUACGAUCUACGGAUGAAAGCAGGGGACCGCAAGGCCUUGCGCGGACGGAGCGGCCGAUGGCAGAUUAGGUAGUUGGUGGGAUAAAAGCUUACCAAGCCGACGAUCUGGAGCUGGUCUGAGAGGAUGAUCAGCCACACUGGGACUGAGACACGGCCCAGACUCCUACGGGAGGCAGCAGUGGGGAAUUUUGGACAAUGGGCGCAAGCCUGAUCCAGCCAUGCCGCGUGCAGGAUGAAGGCCUUCGGGUUGUAAACUGCUUUUGUACGGAACGAAAAGCCUUCUUUUAAUACAGGAGGGUCAUGACGGUACCGUAAGAAUAAGCCCCGGCUCACUACUU